Molecule: ribosomal RNA, 373 nt
Filed under: uncultured eukaryote
Lineage: Eukaryota
Description: partial 18S ribosomal RNA
Rfam family: Eukaryotic small subunit ribosomal RNA
Source: RNAcentral
CAAUAGCGUAUAUUAAAGUUGUUGCAGUUAAAAAGCUCGUAGUUGGAUUUCUGCCAGGGUGCCAAUGUCCGCCGAAGUGCGUGCGCAGCGGCGCCCUCGCAUCCUUCUGUUAACGCCUCUCGGCAUUUACUUGCCGGUGGUGGGCUCAGAUAAUUUACCUUGAGAUAAUUAGAGUGUUUCAGGCAGGCUAGGCCGGAAUACAUUAGCAUGGAAUAAUGGAAUAGGACUACGGUCUCGUUGUUGGUUUGAGGGACUGGAGUAAUGAUUAAUAGGGAUAGUUGGGGGCAUUAGUAUUUAAUUGUCAGAGGUGAAAUUCUCAGAUUUGUUAAAGACUAACUUAUGCGAAAGCAUUUGCCAAGGAUGUUUUCAUUAA